Molecule: ribosomal RNA, 305 nt
Filed under: uncultured bacterium
Lineage: Bacteria
Description: bacterial SSU rRNA
Rfam family: Bacterial small subunit ribosomal RNA
Source: RNAcentral
CGGUACCUGAAGAAUAAGCACCGGCUAACUACGUGCCAGCAGCCGCGGUAAUACGUAGGGUGCAAGCGUUAAUCGGAAUUACUGGGCGUAAAGCGUGCGCAGGCGGUUAUGCAAGACAGAUGUGAAAUCCCCGGGCUCAACCUGGGAACUGCAUUUGUGACUGUAUAGCUAGAGUACGGUAGAGGGGGAUGGAAUUCCGCGUGUAGCAGUGAAAUGCGUAGAUAUGCGGAGGAACACCGAUGGCGAAGGCAAUCCCCUGGACCUGUACUGACGCUCAUGCACGAAAGCGUGGGGAGCAAACAGGA